Molecule: long non-coding RNA, 1391 nt
Organism: Monodelphis domestica (gray short-tailed opossum)
Lineage: Eukaryota; Metazoa; Chordata; Mammalia; Didelphimorphia; Didelphidae
Source: Ensembl
AUGCACAAAGCCUCACUUUUUCUUCCAGCCUUGGAAGACCUUCCAUGGAAGAACAAUGGCAAGACAAAAGCCAAUAUGAUUAGCCCAGGAUGCCUAGAGCCUUUGACAUCUGACCAAGCUCUAAGUACUUCACCACACCUACUUUGGCCUUCUAGUCUACUGGAGAAAGUCUUGGCAUACUUGGUCUAUUGGUUACUCUCAACCUGGUUUGUCCCAUCAGCCAAGAUGGUUUUACAGGAGCGUGGCCACUGUUCAUGCUACAUCUUCUUGGAGCCACAGUGAUAAUCCAGAAUUGGGAAUGGAGGAUGGAAACACAGGUGACUUGUCUGAACUAGUUGAGGGUAUAUAUGUUGAAAGAGGAGUCACUGACCAAAUGAUGGAUGAAACAAUUAUUAGCACCAGAGACAUGAUUCUGGGAUGCAACAUACUUGCUUUCUCCUGCCUGUCUUCUCUUCUCUCCAGGAAGCACUCAAGGUGCUCAUCCCUUUGCCCUUUUCUCUUCAUGACUUUGAACUGAUAUAUCUCUCAGUUACAGCUGGGGAUUCUCAGUCCUAGACUUUCUCUGAUGUUUGGGGUGGGCCAGCUCCCCACUCCCCCCGCCACACACCCUACAGAGCCUUCUGGGGGCACUGAAGGUAGUACUGUACAAUCUCUGCUUUCAGAACAUUCAUGGGAGCUGUAGCUUUGUCUAUCAGUGGGAGGCCGACAAACCUGAUGAGCUCUCCUGGCAAGGUUUGCUGUUAAGUGUUUGGAUAGCUAAGCAGCCUGCAGAGACUAGGGAUGGGUACUGUGCAGUUGCUAUGACCCUUACCCAGAACUAUGAAAAAUAUAAAAAUAUUUGGACUCUGGUUUGCAAAACAGCAGAGGUAUCUCUUGGCAUGGUGUAUGAGUGCAAUGAAUCACUGGGAGUCUAGAUGCCUAAUUAUUUUGUUCAAACAGCUUGUUGCUGACUGAUUAAAGAGGAUUUAUUAAAAUUUACUUAUGAAUAGUAUAGAGCCUUAUAAUAAGUCAUUGCAUGUUGAGAGAUUUAAGAAACCCAAUGUUGAAACAUUAUUUACAAGGUUUUUUUAUUGCAAACCUCUAUAACCUCUGACAAACUAACUUGUAUUUCUUUUGCUCCUAGAAGUUAUAAAAAACUAGGCACAUGUUCCUGGUGUAGUUACAAAGAGUACAGCUGUAACUUACUCUGAAAGAUUCAUUUUUUAAUUUUGCAUAGUAUAUGUUCUGAAACAUUUCCUAGAAAAACGGCAACCCAAUUUGACUACCUGUGGAAGGAGCUAUAUUAGAAAAACCACACAAAUGAUUCUUUGAAAAAUGUUACAGCCCCCAAAAUAUUUAUAGCAACUCUUUUUUUUGUGGUAAUAAAGAAUUGUAAAUUGAGGGGUUGUCCA